UUAAGUUCAGCGGGUAGUCUUACUUGAUUUGAGAUCGAGUUUGACAGAGACAAAACCGUUGCCGGCCUUUUCUCUGUGAAAUCCUGCAUCAGUCAGCCAUAAUGGUCAAAACUCCCUUUAUGUUAGCUGCAGCAAAAAGUAAUAAUCCGUUUGACGGGACUAAAUAAAUAUGCUUUUAGCUCAGGAGAUUGUCCAGCUGC
This 200-nucleotide unclassified non-coding RNA is filed under the name Mortierella sp. Its description in RNAcentral is "partial internal transcribed spacer 2". The record is from RNAcentral. Lineage: Eukaryota; Fungi; Mortierellomycota; Mortierellomycetes; Mortierellales; Mortierellaceae.